UACGUAGGGGGCUAGCGUUGUCCGGAAUCAUUGGGCGUAAAGCGCGUGUAGGCGGUUCGGUAAGUCCGCUGUGAAAGUCGGGGGCUCAACCCUCGAAUGCCGGUGGAUACUGUCGGACUAGAGUACGGAAGAGGCGAGUGGAAUUCCUGGUGUAGCGGUGAAAUGCGCAGAUAUCAGGAGGAACACCAAUGGCGAAGGCAGCUCGCUGGGACGUGACUGACGCUGAGACGCGAAAGCGUGGGGAGCAAACAGG
RNAcentral lists this ribosomal RNA (253 nucleotides) under uncultured bacterium. RNAcentral describes it as "partial 16S ribosomal RNA". It matches the Rfam family "Bacterial small subunit ribosomal RNA", at positions 524 to 776 of the family's 1533-position model. The record is from RNAcentral.